Carya illinoinensis is the source of this 828-nucleotide long non-coding RNA. RefSeq lists it as uncharacterized. The transcript is spliced from 2 exons. NCBI's taxonomy places the organism in Eukaryota, Viridiplantae, Streptophyta, Magnoliopsida, Fagales, Juglandaceae. The record is from RefSeq and is a predicted model, not a curated record.
UCAGUGCAAAAGGCUACUGCUCUCUCUCUCUCUCUCUGAGCAAUUACACCCUUCUCCCACCAUUAAAUGCAAUCGCACCCUCACAAUUCGCUCGGCAAUUCUGCUCGCUAGCUGCAACAUUUGUCUCCAUCUUCUCCAGGCCCUUUCUCCUUCCUUUACUGCAUUUCUCCAUUUCCUGCUCGGAAAAUCUCUGCCUCUCUCUCUCUCUCUCUCUCUCUCUCUCUCUCUCUCUCUCUCCCCAAAACUCAUACCUGUACUUCCAAAAGCUCUUACUAAAACCACAUUUGUAGCCCCAAACAGUGGUUUCCCUGCAGCGAGUUAGCCCCAAAACAGAUCUGACCAUUAGCAUUUUUUGAAGGCUAGCUCCAAACGUUGUAUAUAUAAGUGGUGGGUGGAAUUUUUGUACAUCUCAGUCUUCGGUCUAAGGAAAGAAAGGAAGCGAAAGUGUGGAGGAGAUCAUAUAGAAAGUGAGAAGGCACAGUUGAAAUAUGAUCGUUACCGUUAACGAGCCUGCCCUCUACGCCUGUUGUUGAGUGUGCAUGAUGGGACAUGAAGAGGCACUACCGCUGUGCGUCAUGGCCGUGGGAAAUGACGGAAACGAAGAAUCACAUUGUGGGAGGGAAGAAGAGGAGUGGGCGUGGACGAUAUAAAUGGCAACGAGAAGGAAGAUGGAGCGAAGUUUCCAAAGAUUGAAUUAUGUUUUCAUUUUAAUUUUACCUUGCUGUUAACUUACGGCUGCAUACAAAUGGGUGGUGCGUAACACAUCGUUUAUCGUGCAAUCAGAUCAAUGGAAAUAAAAAGCCAAAAAUUAAAUAUUUUAAUAUUAAU